GGGCAAUGGUCGGAAGACUGACCCAGCCAUGCCGCGUGCAGGAAGACGGCCCUCUGGGUUGUAAACUGCUUUUAUCUGGGAAGAAAAGGGCCAUGCGUGGCAAAUUGCCGGUACCAGAUGAAUAAGCACCGGCUAACUCCGUGCCAGCAGCCGCGGUAAUACGGAGGGUGCAAGCGUUGUCCGGAUUUAUUGGGUUUAAAGGGUGCGUAGGCGGCUGAUUAAGUCAGCGGUGAAAGACUUCGGCUUAACCGGAGCAGUGCCGUUGAUACUGGUUAGCUUGAGUGUUGGAGGGGUACAUGGAAUUGAUGGUGUAGCGGUGAAAUGCAUAGAUACCAUCAGGAACACCGAUAGCGAAGGCAUUGUACUGGCCAACAACUGACGCUGAUGCACGAAAGUGUGGGGAUCGAACAGGAUUAGAUACCCUGGUAGUCCACACCGUAAACGAUGAUUACUCGCUGUUAUGGAGUAUUCUGUAGUGGCCAAGCGAAAGCGUUAAGUAAUCCACCUGGGGAGUACGCCGGCAACGGUGAAACUCAAAGGAAUU
This 544-nucleotide ribosomal RNA is filed under the name Algoriphagus olei. Its description in RNAcentral is "bacterial SSU rRNA". It matches the Rfam family "Bacterial small subunit ribosomal RNA", at positions 366 to 911 of the family's 1533-position model. The record is from RNAcentral. Lineage: Bacteria; Pseudomonadati; Bacteroidota; Cytophagia; Cytophagales; Cyclobacteriaceae.